UUCCGGUUGAUCCUGCCGGACCCCACUGCUAUCGAGAUGGGACUAAGGUAUGCUAGUCGAACGACCAGAACUAUGUCUGGAGGUGGCACACUGCUCAGUAACACGUAGCUAACCUACCCUUAGGACGUGGAUACCCCCGAGAAAUUGGGGUUAAUCCGCGAUAGAUGUAAUGUCCUGGAAUGGUAUUACGUCUAAAGGUAUUUCAUACAUGUUUGAAAUAUGCCUAAGGAUGGGGCUGCGGCCGAUCAGGCUGUUGGUGAGGUAAUGGCUCACCAAACCUUUGACCGGUACGGGCCAUGAGGGUGGCAGCCCGGAGAUGGACACUGAGACAAGGGUCCAGGCCCUAAGGGGCGCAGCAACCGCGAAACCUCCACAAUGCACUCACGUGCGAUGGGGCUAUCUCGAGUGCCACCUGAUGAAGGUGGCUUUUCCUAGGUCUUCAAAGCCUUGGGAAUAAGAGGGGGGCAAGACUGGUGUCAGCCGCCGCGGCAACACCAGCCCCUCGAGUGGUGGGGAUGAUUAUUUGGCCUAAAGCGUCCGUAGCCGGCCGAGCAAGUCUUCCGUUAAAUCCAGCGUCUCAAGCGUUGGACCGCGGGAGAUACUACACGGCUAGAGAGUGGGAGAGGUCAGCGGUAUUCUGGGGGUAAGGGCGAAAUCUUUUGAUCCCCGGAGGACCACCAGUGGCGAAGGCUGCUGACUAGAACACGUCUGACGGUCAGGGACGAAAGCUGGGGUAGCGAACCGGAUUAGAUACCCGGGUAGUCCCAGCCGUAAACGAUGCAUGCUAGGUGUUGGGUUGGCCACGAGCCACCCCAGUGCCGCAGGAAGCCGUUAAGCAUGCCGCCUGGGAAGUACGAUCGCAAGUUGAAACUUAAAGGAAUUGCGGGGGAGCACACAGGCGUGAGCCUGCG
Molecule: ribosomal RNA, 911 nt
Filed under: uncultured archaeon
Lineage: Archaea
Description: bacterial SSU rRNA
Rfam family: Archaeal small subunit ribosomal RNA
Source: RNAcentral